Molecule: non-coding RNA, 65 nt
Organism: Dipodomys ordii (Ord's kangaroo rat)
Lineage: Eukaryota; Metazoa; Chordata; Mammalia; Rodentia; Heteromyidae
Source: Rfam
GGUGGCUCAGUGGUAGAGUGCUUGCCUAGCAUGCAUGAAGCCCUGGGUUCGAUUCCUCAGCACCA